This 497-nucleotide ribosomal RNA is filed under the name uncultured bacterium. RNAcentral describes it as "partial 16S ribosomal RNA". It matches the Rfam family "Bacterial small subunit ribosomal RNA", at positions 28 to 507 of the family's 1533-position model. The record is from RNAcentral.
GAUGAACGCUGGCGGCGUGCCUAAUACAUGCAAGUCGAGCGAACAGACGAGGAGCUUGCUCCUCUGACGUUAGCGGCGGACGGGUGAGUAACACGUGGAUAACCUACCUAUAAGACUGGGAUAACUUCGGGAAACCGGAGCUAAUACCGGAUAAUAUAUUGAACCGCAUGGUUCAAUAGUGAAAGACGGUUUUGCUGUCACUUAUAGAUAGAUCCGCGCCGCAUUAGCUAGUUGGUAAGGUAACGGCUUACCAAGGCAACGAUGCGUAGCCGACCUGAGAGGGUGAUCGGCCACACUGGAACUGAGACACGGUCCAGACUCCUACGGGAGGCAGCAGUAGGGAAUCUUCCGCAAUGGGCGAAAGCUUGACGGAGCAACGCCGCGUGAGUGAUGAAGGUCUUCGGAUCGUAAAACUCUGUUAUUAGGGAAGAGCAAAUGUGUAAGUAACUAUGCACGUCUUGACGGUACCUAAUCAGAAAGCCACGGCUAACUACGUG